UACGAAGGGGGCGAGCGUUGUUCGGAUUUACUGGGCGUAAAGGGCGCGCAGGCGGCUCAUUUUGUCAGGCGUGAAAGCCCCGGGCUUAACCUGGGAACUGCGUUUGAUACGGAUGGGCUAGAGUUCGGGAGAGGAGAGUGGAAUUCCCAGUGUAGAGGUGAAAUUCGUAGAUAUUGGGAAGAACACCGGGGGCGAAGGCGGCUCUCUGGACCGAUACUGACGCUGAGGCGCGAAAGCGGGGGGAGCAAACAGG
Molecule: ribosomal RNA, 253 nt
Filed under: uncultured bacterium
Lineage: Bacteria
Description: partial 16S ribosomal RNA
Rfam family: Bacterial small subunit ribosomal RNA
Source: RNAcentral